This 95-nucleotide small RNA is filed under the name uncultured Succinimonas sp. RNAcentral describes it as "Alpha operon ribosome binding site". It matches the Rfam family "Alpha operon ribosome binding site", at positions 14 to 110 of the family's 110-position model. Rfam says of the family: The bacterial alpha operon ribosome binding site is surrounded by this complex pseudoknotted structure. Translation of the mRNA produces 4 ribosomal protein products, one of which (S4) acts as a translational repressor by binding to the nested pseudoknot region. Lineage: Bacteria; Pseudomonadati; Pseudomonadota; Gammaproteobacteria; Aeromonadales; Succinivibrionaceae. The record is from RNAcentral.
CCUCGUGUAUCCUGACGGGCUUUACGAGGAUUGUUUUUUUAACUUGAUUUUAGGAGUUUAUAGUGGCCCGUAUAGCUGGUAUUAACCUUCCUGAU